RNAcentral lists this ribosomal RNA (482 nucleotides) under uncultured bacterium. Its description in RNAcentral is "partial 16S ribosomal RNA". It matches the Rfam family "Bacterial small subunit ribosomal RNA", at positions 30 to 507 of the family's 1533-position model. The record is from RNAcentral.
AUUGAACGCUGGCGGCAUGCUUUACACAUGCAAGUCGAACGGUAACAGGCCGCAAGGUGCUGACGAGUGGCGAACGGGUGAGUAAUGCAUCGGAACGUGCCCAGUCGUGGGGGAUAACUACUCGAAAGAGUAGCUAAUACCGCAUACGAUCUAUGGAUGAAAGCGGGGGACCGUAAGGCCUCGCGCGAUUGGAGCGGCCGAUGUCAGAUUAGGCAGUUGGUGGGGUAAAGGCUCACCAAGCCAACGAUCUGUAGCUGGUCUGAGAGGACAACCAGCCACACUGGGACUGAGACACGGCCCAGACUCCUACGGGAGGCAGCAGUGGGGAAUUUUGGACAAUGGGCGCAAGCCUGAUCCAGCAAUGCCGCGUGCAGGAAGAAGGCCUUCGGGUUGUAAACUGCUUUUGUACGGAACGAAACGGCUCUGGUUAAUACCCGGGGCUAAUGACGGUACCGUAAGAAUAAGCACCGGCUAACUACGUG